CAGCCGGAAAUGACGUGGUUUCUUUCCAAAUACUGCUGCUCCUCUCCAGUGAAAUGGACCCCUGAUGACAGCACAGAGAUUCCGGAGCGCUUCUGCUCUGACUUGUUUCUGUCUCUCAGCCAAGCUUCAGCUUCAUUCCCAGGACCACACAGAACAGGAUGACCAGCACUGGAAGUCUCCAGGGAGGAGAAUGCCACAUGCCAGGUGUACAGCCCAGCAGGUGCCCGGCUUGGUUGCUAGCUAAGAAAAGACUGCAAACCUUGUUUCCAGGCCAGGGAUUUUGCAGCUCAGGAGGCAACUUGUCAGAGGAUACAUCCACCACAAGAGAGUAAGAGAGAGAGAAGGCGCCCUGCAAUGGCCGGUCGUGCCAGGCCUUUUCUCCAUUUCAUCAAGAUGCUGGACACACAUGUGUGCACCUAGUGUGAAGCUCAUGGGUCAGGGUUUGAACCCUAGUGGAUCAUACAGAUCCAUUGUCCUCUGUGAAGCACAAAACCACCGUGCUACAGGGUCAGCCCUGAACUUAUUCUCUAUACUAAACCCAAGAUGAUGUUUCCCCAGUUCCAAAUCAAUGAUGCUCCCAAACUUGCUGAGUCCUCCAGCCUCAAGGGAAAGCCUAGCACUUGGUGGAACGUGCACCUCUUCUCCACUCACAGCCUG
Long non-coding RNA from Tupaia belangeri chinensis (Chinese tree shrew), 657 nucleotides. RefSeq lists it as uncharacterized. NCBI's taxonomy places the organism in Eukaryota, Metazoa, Chordata, Mammalia, Scandentia, Tupaiidae. The record is from RefSeq and is a predicted model, not a curated record. The transcript has 3 exons.